This 1076-nucleotide long non-coding RNA is filed under the name Callithrix jacchus (white-tufted-ear marmoset). RNAcentral's name for it is "lncRNA (ENSCJAG00000085313.1)". Lineage: Eukaryota; Metazoa; Chordata; Mammalia; Primates; Cebidae. The record is from RNAcentral.
AUGAGUAUCCAUUGUGCUGCUGCCUUUUUAAAAUUUAAUUUUAUUAUUUAUUUAUUUAUUUAUUUUACAGGGCUACCCUGUCCAGCAAGAAGGCAGCCUAGUCACUGUCUACCUGCAGAGGCUUUGCUGAGCUGCUUUGGUCUCCACCCUGCUGUCGGCUCUGCCCUGCUGCUGCCAUGAACAAGUGUGCACCUAUCAAAAAGACUCAUGUGCUUCAGAGGAAUCCUGAACCUUUUCAAAUUCCCCCAGCUUUCAGCUUUUAAUGAUGUUCCUGAACACACAGACCCCCAUGGUGCGCAGGGGAUAUUAAAGUUCAAAGAGACAUAGAAUCAGGUUGAAGAUGGUAAGUGAUCAGACUCCUAGGGGAAUGAGAGCAUUUCCUCAUUUUCGGGCUACAGCAGAAAUGUCUGUAAUCCAGAUAUUUAAAACUCGGCUGGGUGAAGAGGUGGGGGAGGUUUCAUGGAAUAGCCUAGAGUCAGGUCCUGUGGGAUGAGGUGGAUGUGAUCGUGAAGGUCAUCUCUGGCCCCCACGCCUCGGAUUCCAUGAUAGCACAUCUGCUUUUGAUUGCAGUGGGUUCCGAGCCCAGGGCUUAGGGCGCGACGCCAUCUGAAGGAGGAAAUACUAAGCCUGUCUGCAGGUCUGGACGUUCCCACAAUGGGACACCAGCUAAGCCCUGUGGCCGCUGGAGAGACACUGGAGCUCUGUCUGGAGCUCUGCUCCUUCUCAGAGGCCCCACACGUGGAGGCCUUUGCAGCCCACGCAGGCCUGUGUCAGAACCAAUAAAAUGGAGAAGGCAGGACAGGAGUUCUGGGAAAGAGGACCUAACAGGAGCGGGGGUGGCUGUGAAAGGGAGGGUACCGUGGUAAUGAAGGGGAAGGAGGAGAAUCCGAAUCAGACUUGAGCAGUGAUCUUGGAGACACCACUCACUGCCCGAGUGGGACCUCAAGAGGUUCCCACUCCUCAUUUUCAGAGUCUAGGAUUACCCAGAUACUGCAGCAAAGUAUUUAGUGCUGUAUCCAGCACUUAAUCAUUCCAUCACCUCUGGCUAUUGGAAUUUGACAACUUAGCUCUGGCUU